Molecule: ribosomal RNA, 1602 nt
Filed under: Triticum aestivum (bread wheat)
Lineage: Eukaryota; Viridiplantae; Streptophyta; Magnoliopsida; Poales; Poaceae
Description: partial small subunit ribosomal RNA
Source: RNAcentral
AUGGAGGACGAACAAUCAGCCACAUAUACUGUGGAUGACGCCCUUAUAUCUUCAGGUUUUGGGAAGUACCAAAUAUUGAUUCUCUCCUAUGCUGGGAUAGGCUUAAUCGCAGAAGCAAUGGAGAUGAUGCUGCUAUCAUUUGUUGGUCCAUCCGUUCAGUUAGAAUGGAAUCUUACUGCUCACCAGGAAAGCAUGAUUACAAGUGUUGUUUUCGUUGGAAUGCUAAUAGGAGCUUACUCUUGGGGUGUGGUCUCAGAUAACUAUGGAAGGAGGAAAGGGUUUCUCUUUACUGCCAUUAUGACGAGUGGAGCUGGAUUCAUGAGUGCCUUUUCUCCAAACUAUGUAGCUUUAAUGGCUCUACGAUUUUUAGUUGGUAUUGGCUUGGGAGGAGGACCUGUUCUUGGAUCUUGGUUCUUGGAAUUUGUUCCUGCUCCAAGUAGAGGAACUUGGAUGGUGGUACUCUCAGCAUUUUGGACUGUCGGUACCAUCUUUGAGGCUUCACUUGCAUGGGUAGUUAUGCCCAAGUUUGGCUGGAGGUGGUUGCUAGCAUUAUCAUCUGUUCCGUCUCUCCUGCUGCUUUUGUUUUAUGCUAUCACACCAGAGUCGCCAAGGUUCCUCUGCAUGAAAGGCAGAACAAUGGAGGCUGUGGAUGUACUGGAGAAAAUGGCAAGGUUAAACGGUGCACAACUCCCUUCGGGUAAGCUUGUUUCCGACAAGAACAUUGAGCUAGAUGAAGUUUCCGAGUCUGCAACGCUUCUGGCUGCUACUGCUAAAGCUGCUAAAGAAGAAGAAAACGACAACAUCAAGGAAGACGAAGGUUCCGAUUUUGGAGGUUUCAAGUCUGUUUCUAAGCUGUUGUCACCAAAAUUGCUCAGAGCAACUCUGCUUCUGUGGAUGGCUUUCUUUGGGAAUGCAUUUUCGUAUUAUGGUAUUGUUCUGUUGACAUCGGAGUUAAGUAACGGAAAUAGGAUAUGUGCAGAACAGGAGGUUGAAUCUGUACACUCGAACAACUCGAGCCUGUACAAAAACGUGUUUAUUUCUAGCUUUGCAGAGAUUCCAGGGUCAUUCGUGUCCAUCAUGAUCGUGGAUAGAAUUGGGCGAAGGCUUUCAAUGGCUUCGAUGCUCUUCACUAGCUGUGUCUUUUUAUUCCCGCUAGUGUUUUCCCGCACUGAAAUACUGACAAGAAUCUCAUUAUUCGGUGCCCGGCUCUGCAUUUCUGCGAGCUUCACAAUCGUAUACAUAUACGCUCCUGAGGUUAGUUCUGUUCUACUCCUCUUUUCGACGGCCAGUCUUGAAAGCAAGGCUGAACCCUCUUGUCAGGUGUUAAAAUUGAACAGUAGAGUAUUCACAUCUUCGCUUCAUCAUUUCCAGAUCUACCCAACCUCUGUGAGGACAACAGGCAUCGGCGUCGCCAGCUCGGUGGGCAGGAUCGGCGGCAUUCUGUGCCCUCUCGUCGCUGUUGCUCUGGUGCACAACUGCCAUCAGACGACCGCGAUCCUCCUCUUCGAGCUCGUGGUUUUCCUCUCGGGGGUGGCCGUCAUGUUCUUCCCUUUUGAGACGAAAGGCUGUAGGCUGAACGACACCGAGGCCGAUAUGCAUUGA